Oenanthe melanoleuca is the source of this 594-nucleotide long non-coding RNA. RefSeq lists it as uncharacterized. The transcript is spliced from 3 exons. NCBI's taxonomy places the organism in Eukaryota, Metazoa, Chordata, Aves, Passeriformes, Muscicapidae. The record is from RefSeq and is a predicted model, not a curated record.
CUAUGGUACUUGAGUGGUACCAAAGUGUACUGGUGAGUGUAGCACCAGAUGUGCUGUAACAGACAUCUAAUUCAAUUUUCUACAGUUCUGAGGUUUGCUUCACUUCAGAAGGUACCCAGAAGAUAUUACCCAUGAAGACUUAAGCAUCCCCAUGUGAUAAACAGGAAGGACCAGUGCCUAAUGAAGCAGUGUGAAUGGAAAAUGUAAACAAAACAGGCUUUUCCCCUUGUUGAGAAAACAAUUUUUAUUUACUUGAACCUGCAACCUACAGUCUCAGCCAUGGAAACCAGAUUUGAAAGAAGAGUUGGGGUUACAAUCUACAUUAUGCAACAGUCCAUCUGUGAAGGACAGGGAGGAGCUCUUGGUCUGAUCUGUGUAGCAGUUUUAUUGUAAAAUAAGCAGGGACUGAAUGGCAAAUUCCCAUGGGACUGAACCCAGGAGCACAGCAGAGCCCCACUGUGGUGUGGGUGAUGUGCUCCCCUGGCUACAUCCUCUUCCAUCAAUGUCUGUCAUCUGCUUGGCUCUACUCUAUGAAACUUGACAGUAAAAACAAGAGUUCACCAUUGCAACAUUAAAAAAACUUCCUAGUAUGUA